UACCGCAUACGCCCUAUGGGGGAAAGCGGGGGAUCUUCGGACCUCGCGCUAUCGGAUGAGCCUGCGUUGGAUUAGCUAGUUGGUGGGGUAAAGGCCUACCAAGGCGACGAUCCGUAGCUGGUCUGAGAGGACGAUCAGCCACACUGGGACUGAGACACGGCCCAGACUCCUACGGGAGGCAGCAGUGGGGAAUAUUGGACAAUGGGCGCAAGCCUGAUCCAGCAAUACCGCGUGUGUGAAGAAGGCCUGAGGGUUGUAAAGCACUUUCAAUAGGGAGGAAAAAGCGUUGGUUAAUACCCGAUGCCUUGACAUUACCUAUAGAAGAAGCACCGGCUAACUCCGUGCCAGCAGCCGCGGUAAUACGGAGGGUGCGAGCGUUAAUCGGAAUUACUGGGCGUAAAGCGUGCGUAGGCGGCUGUUUAAGUCAGAUGUGAAAGCCCCGGGCUUAACCUGGGAACUGCAUUUGAUACUGGACAGCUCGAGUUUAGGAGAGGAGAGUGGAAUUUCCGGUGUAGCGGUGAAAUGCGUAGAGAUCGGAAGGAACACCAGUGGCGAAGGCGGCUCUCUGGCCUAAAACUGACGCUGAGGUACGAAAGCGUGGGUAGCAAACAGGAUUA
This 617-nucleotide ribosomal RNA is filed under the name uncultured bacterium. RNAcentral's name for it is "bacterial SSU rRNA". It matches the Rfam family "Bacterial small subunit ribosomal RNA", at positions 167 to 780 of the family's 1533-position model. The record is from RNAcentral.